Molecule: ribosomal RNA, 253 nt
Filed under: uncultured bacterium
Lineage: Bacteria
Description: partial 16S ribosomal RNA
Rfam family: Bacterial small subunit ribosomal RNA
Source: RNAcentral
UACAGAGGGGGCAAGCGUUGUUCGGAAUUACUGGGCGUAAAGGGCGCGUAGGCGGCCUGUUAAGUCGAACGUGAAAUCCCCGGGCUCAACCCGGGAACUGCGUCCGAUACUGGCAGGCUUGAAUUCGGGAGAGGGAUGCGGAAUUCCAGGUGUAGCGGUGAAAUGCGUAGAGAUCCGGAGGAACACCAGUGGCGAAGGCGACACGCUGGGCCGUACCUGACACUGAUGCGCGACAGCAUGGGGAGCAAACAGG